This 63-nucleotide transfer RNA is filed under the name Histeroidea sp. 2 KM-2017. RNAcentral's name for it is "tRNA-Phe". The record is from RNAcentral. Lineage: Eukaryota; Metazoa; Arthropoda; Insecta; Coleoptera.
AUUUGUGUAGCUUAUAGAGAGCGUAAUAUUGAAGAUAUUAAUGAGGCCGUAGGCCCGCAGAUA